RNAcentral lists this ribosomal RNA (197 nucleotides) under uncultured bacterium. RNAcentral's name for it is "partial 16S ribosomal RNA". It matches the Rfam family "Bacterial small subunit ribosomal RNA", at positions 1302 to 1500 of the family's 1533-position model. The record is from RNAcentral.
AGGCUGCAACUCGCCUACACGAAGUCGGAAUCGCUAGUAAUCGCGGAUCAGCAUGCCGCGGUGAAUACGUUCUCGGGCCUUGUACACACCGCCCGUCACACCAUGGGAGUCGGUAACACCCGAAGUCUGUAGCCUGACGCAAGAGGGCGCAGCCGAAGGUGGGAUUGAUGACUGGGGUGAAGUCGUAACAAGGUAGC